RNAcentral lists this transfer RNA (77 nucleotides) under Umbilicaria muhlenbergii. Its description in RNAcentral is "tRNA-Arg (CCG) (tRNA-Arg-CCG-2-1)". It matches the Rfam family "tRNA". Rfam says of the family: Transfer RNA (tRNA) molecules are approximately 80 nucleotides in length. Their secondary structure includes four short double-helical elements and three loops (D, anti-codon, and T loops). Lineage: Eukaryota; Fungi; Ascomycota; Lecanoromycetes; Umbilicariales; Umbilicariaceae. The record is from RNAcentral.
GCCCGCUUAGUACAGUGGUAGUACGCCGUCAGGGUCCGGCCCUGACGGAAACGAAGGUUCGAUUCCUUCAGCGGGCG